CCGCACGGGUGAGUAACACGUAUCCAACCUGCCGUCUACUCUUGGCCAGCCUUCUGAAAGGAAGAUUAAUCCAGGAUGGCAUCAUGAGUUCACAUGUCCGCGUGAUUAAAGGUAUUUUCCGGUAGACGAUGGGGAUGCGUUCCAUUAGAUAGUAGGCGGGGUAACGGCCCACCUAGUCAACGAUGGAUAGGGGUUCUGAGAGGAAGGUCCCCCACAUUGGAACUGAGACACGGUCCAA
This 238-nucleotide ribosomal RNA is filed under the name uncultured bacterium. RNAcentral's name for it is "partial 16S ribosomal RNA". It matches the Rfam family "Bacterial small subunit ribosomal RNA", at positions 98 to 334 of the family's 1533-position model. The record is from RNAcentral.